UGAAAAACUAUUUGGUUACUGAACAAUCUAUUUCUUGGUGAUGUUUCUUAAUUUUGAUUAGUGUUGACUUUAAUCUAAAGUUGAUAGGUUACUCAUAUCAUAUGACUAUGUUACAUAUAUAUGCUAUAUGUAAAAAAUGUGGAGGUAAAUGUGGCACAAUUUGAUUCUAUUCAUUUGGCACAAUUGAUAUCAUCCGAAAAACAAAGAGUGGCAAAAAAUGAUACCUUUUCAAAACUGUAAUUGGCGUAAAUUGAUUCUGCCUGCUCAAUUAAGACCAAGGUCCCUGAAGCAAUAAUAAUCAGAUAUGCUCUUUCUAUUUUUAGAUUACUUUUUGAUAUAGCCC
This 343-nucleotide long non-coding RNA is filed under the name Mytilus galloprovincialis (Mediterranean mussel). Lineage: Eukaryota; Metazoa; Mollusca; Bivalvia; Mytilida; Mytilidae. The record is from RNAcentral.